UCUGUCUAACUCAUGAACUUCUUCUCCAAGGUAGGUUUACUUUAUUAAAUAUGACUUAGUUCAUUAUAUGUGUUUUUACUCUAAACACACGUGUGUUGCAACAGUAGCAAAAACCGUUUCUCCGUUAUUCAGAUGGUACUACUUUAUAUGACAAGAUCGCUAGCUGCUCAUGCUAGCUAUAGUAGCUAUCAGUUGAGCUCUCGGGCUGUCCCAUGUACAGACGAGAUCAGAAGCUCCCUCGUGUCCCCAAACCUCCACGAUACACGUAAGAAAGCUGUAUAUUGUUAACGUGUUUCCCGUUUAUGUCGGCGGGUUGUAUCUGUGAAACUAGCUCUGUUUAUGUAACUCUGCUGCGGUCUCACGGCGGCAAUUUACUUCCGGGUUGAGCUCGGCGAGAAAGAGCGGAUAUAACGAGCUGACUCGCGUCCCAAACCUCCGCGAUACACAAGAGCGGAUAUAACGAGCUGACUCGCGUCCCAAACCUUCGUGUUACACGUAAGAAAGCUGUGUGUUGUUCACGCGUUACCCGUUUUAAUUCGGCGGGUUAUAUCUGUGAAACUAUGGCUCUGUUUCCGUAACUGCCGCUGUCUCUAUUCCGGUUUGAGUUCUGCGAGAUGUAAACAAAGAGCACGUGACGCUAAACGUGCCGUGAUGUUUCCCCAGCUAACAUGACUCAAAUAGCUAGUGUAACACUAUAUUCUAUGUCUAAAUCGUGAAUACACUAAGAGGCUGGUCAUCCUUCUCAUGCAGUUAUUGAAGGUUACUGGUCUGUUGUUUUGAGUUGAAGUCAUUCAAUGAGCAGUGUGUGCUGAUCAAUGCAUUGAGUAUUCUCAUUAAAAUAAUCUGUUGCUGGUCUGACAGCAUUUUAGCCUUAUUUGUUCAGCUGUAACUCUCACAAUGUAAAAUAGACUUGGGGUGCAAAUGGAACAAUAUAUCACAAUAUAUUUUUAGCAUAUAUUCAGUGAUUCACUGCGUCAGCUCUUUGAUCCUUGUUGCAGUGUGACCUGUCGGAGUUGUCUUACAGUCACGGGCAGGACGCAGUGUUACUUGCUCUGGUUACUUGUUUAAUGUUGUGAUUACUAUACGCUAUGAAAGGAACCCUUAUUUAUGCUUAGAAUUAUGUGAUCUAAAGCUGGGGUUCAGAGGUUUUAAAGUGUAUUUUGAAUAUGAAUCAGUGCAGCCCCUAUAUGUUCUUGUUAGACUUUAGAAUAGGCCAUGCACACUGCUGUAAGUUAUUUGCCAUUUAAUAAACGUUUAAUAGACUUUUCAAAUAAAGUCACUUUGGUAACUUGUGAGUAUCUCAACAAACAUCAUUACUAUAAUUUCUAAAUGCAGUCUUUUUUUCAAUCUGCAUUCCAGGUGACACACAAUCAGGCUCCUGCUGUGGCAGUGGACACGGAGACGCCUUUAGACUGGACUACAUAUGAUGGAUGUGACCCAAAUAGAGCUACAGUCAGGUGACACACAAUCAGGCUCCUGCUGUGGCAGUGGACACGGAGACGCCUUUAGACUGGACUACCUAUGAUGGAUGUGACCCAAAUAGAGCUACAGUCAGGUGACACACAAUCAGGCUCCUGCUGUGGCAGUGGACACGGAGACGCCUUUAGACUGGACUAGCUAUGAUGGAUGUGACCCAAAUAGAGCUACAGUCAGGUGACACACAAUCAGGCUCCUGCUGUGGCAGUGGACACGGAGACGCCUUUAGACUGGACUACCUCUGAUGGAUGUGACCCAAAUAGAGCUACAGUCAGGUGACACACAAUCAGGCUCCUGCUGUGGCAGUGGACACGGAGACGCCUUUAGACUGGACUAGCUAUGAUGGAUGUGACCCAAAUAGAGCUACAGUCAGGUAAGGGAGUAUUGUAAACACUGUUGUCUCUAUAUAUGUUGACCUGUACACGAUGUAGCUCUAUCAAGAUAGGGAUGUGUUCUCAU
Pseudoliparis swirei is the source of this 1935-nucleotide long non-coding RNA. RefSeq lists it as uncharacterized. The transcript has 6 exons. NCBI's taxonomy places the organism in Eukaryota, Metazoa, Chordata, Actinopteri, Perciformes, Liparidae. The record is from RefSeq and is a predicted model, not a curated record.